GCCAGCCAGAGGCUUCGGCUUAUCACCGCUCCGAAGAACACAACAGAUCGUCACGCUGCCGCUAUCGCCCACGACGCCCGGAACGUCACGACAACACGAGGCUGCCAACUUAGAAGAAUCUGCACUAGGGGCAGAAGGGAAUCGCUGCUCCGUCACGAGAGACAGACACCAACCGGACUCUGCCUGUGGCGGCCGUGCCGUGAACUCCGGAGUCUACCACCUCCAUCAGCAGCCGAGGUGGGACUUAGCCGAAUUUCAACAAGCAAGAUCGUCAGCCAUUUGCAGGUAACCUGUUUCAACUAUUGAAGCAAACGGUGACGAAUCAGUUCCAAGUUUGCAUGUUUGUUGUGUGCCAUAUUAUAACCAAUAAAAGCGUCUUGUACACAAAA
Bacillus rossius redtenbacheri is the source of this 389-nucleotide long non-coding RNA. RefSeq lists it as uncharacterized. The transcript has 2 exons. The record is from RefSeq and is a predicted model, not a curated record. NCBI's taxonomy places the organism in Eukaryota, Metazoa, Arthropoda, Insecta, Phasmatodea, Bacillidae.